UAGGGAAUUUUCGUCAAUGGGGGCAACCCUGAACGAGCAAUGCCGCGUGAGCGAAGAAGGUCUUCGGAUUGUAAAGCUCUGUUGCCGGGGAAAAAGGAAGGUACCUGACUAAGAAGCCCCGGCUAACUACGUGCC
RNAcentral lists this ribosomal RNA (135 nucleotides) under uncultured bacterium. RNAcentral's name for it is "partial 16S ribosomal RNA". It matches the Rfam family "Bacterial small subunit ribosomal RNA", at positions 355 to 509 of the family's 1533-position model. The record is from RNAcentral.